UUUAUUUCUUUUAUAAUUUAAUUAAAUAUUGUAACUAUAUUUUUAUUUUUUAUAUAGUAUAUUAGUUAAAUAAUAUUGAUUGUUAUAUAUUUUUAGUAAUUUGAUGCAUCAUGCAGGCUUAUUGGUAAUGAAUAAAAAAUAAACUUAGUGAGAUUGAUGCACAAUAUACUACAGCAAAUUUUGCACUUAAAAAUAUUUUAAACAAUAACCAGCGAUGCUUUAAAGCAUUGUCAAGAAUAAUCUCGACAUUUGUAAAAGUGUCAAGUAAAGAAUCGUUAAAUAAAUAUGUCAUGAUAAAUAUAUAUACCGACGUUUUAAUAUAGAGUCGAAAAAUUUUUAUCAGUAUUUGAUAAAAAUAUGUUUAUUGGCGGCGCUUAAUUAUAGUAUCAAUAUAUUCCAAAUAUUAAAGACGCUAGAAUGAAUUCUAAAAUAUAUUUUAUUGUAGUGGUAUAUUA
This 455-nucleotide long non-coding RNA is filed under the name Ananas comosus (pineapple). RNAcentral describes it as "long non-coding RNA (ACOM_LNC017024)". The record is from RNAcentral. Lineage: Eukaryota; Viridiplantae; Streptophyta; Magnoliopsida; Poales; Bromeliaceae.